CCCUAUGGGGUGCUCACCGUGGCGGAUACCGGCAUCGGGAUGGCGCCGGAAACAAUCCGCCGCAUUUUCGACCCUUUUUUCACCACCAAGAAGAUGGGCAGGGGCACCGGGCUGGGGCUGGCGUCGGCCUACGGAAUCGUCAAGAGCCACAACGGCUACAUCGAAGUGGAGUCGGAAAAGGGGAAGGGCUCCACCUUUUCCGUCUUCCUGCCGGCGACGGACCAGCGCCCCUCCGAUGAUAGGGCCCCGCGCUGGAAGCCGGCGGCCGGAAGCGGCACGAUCCUGCUCGUAGAUGACGAGCAGACCGUGCUAGAGGUCACGGCCCAGAUGAUCGGGCGGCUCGGCUACACGGUGACGCGCGCGCGCACCGGGCGCGAAGCCAUCGAGCGCUUCCGGGAGAGCCCCGCGGGGUUCAGUCUAGUGAUCCUGGACAUGAUCAUGCCUGAAUUGGCGGGAGGGC
RNAcentral lists this ribosomal RNA (460 nucleotides) under uncultured prokaryote. Its description in RNAcentral is "partial 16S ribosomal RNA". The record is from RNAcentral.